RNAcentral lists this ribosomal RNA (415 nucleotides) under Streptococcus sp. oral taxon C56. Its description in RNAcentral is "bacterial SSU rRNA". It matches the Rfam family "Bacterial small subunit ribosomal RNA", at positions 28 to 435 of the family's 1533-position model. Lineage: Bacteria; Bacillati; Bacillota; Bacilli; Lactobacillales; Streptococcaceae. The record is from RNAcentral.
GACGAACGCUGGCGGCGUGCCUAAUACAUGCAAGUAGAACGCUGAAGGAGGAGCUUGCUCUUCUGGAUGAGUUGCGAACGGGUGAGUAACGCGUAGGUAACCUCCCUGGUAGUGGGGGAUAACUAUUGGAAACGAUAGCUAAUACCGCAUAAUAACAGUUGUUGCAUGACAACUGUUUGAAAGGUGCAAUUGCAUCACUACCAGAUGGACCUGCGUUGUAUUAGCUAGUUGGUGGGGUAACGGCUCACCAAGGCGACGAUACAUAGCCGACCUGAGAGGGUGAUCGGCCACACUGGGACUGAGACACGGCCCAGACUCCUACGGGAGGCAGCAGUAGGGAAUCUUCGGCAAUGGACGAAAGUCUGACCGAGCAACGCCGCGUGAGUGAAGAAGGAUUUCGGUUCGUAAAGCAUAU